GGGUUGUGAGGUUAAGCGACUAAGCGUACACGGUGGAUGCCCUGGCAGUCAGAGGCGAUGAAGGACGUGCUAAUCUGCGAUAAGCGUCGGUAAGGUGAUAUGAACCGUUAUAACCGGCGAUUUCCGAAUGGGGAAACCCAGUGUGUUUCGACACACUAUCAUUAACUGAAUCCAUAGGUUAAUGAGGCGAACCGGGGGAACUGAAACAUCUAAGUACCCCGAGGAAAAGAAAUCAACCGAGAUUCCCCCAGUAGCGGCGAGCGAACGGGGAGGAGCCCAGAGCCUGAAUCAGUGUGUGUGUUAGUGGAAGCGUCUGGAAAGGCGCGCGAUACAGGGUGACAGCCCCGUACACAAAAAUGCACAUACUGUGAGCUCGAUGAGUAGGGCGGGACACGUGGUAUCCUGUCUGAAUAUGGGGGGACCAUCCUCCAAGGCUAAAUACUCCUGACUGACCGAUAGUGAACCAGUACCGUGAGGGAAAGGCGAAAAGAACCCCGGCGAGGGGAGUGAAAAAGAACCUGAAACCGUGUACGUACAAGCAGUGGGAGCCUCUUUUAUGGGGUGACUGCGUACCUUUUGUAUAAUGGGUCAGCGACUUAUAUUCUGUAGCAAGGUUAACCGAAUAGGGGAGCCGAAGGGAAACCGAGUCUUAACUGGGCGUUAAGUUGCAGGGUAUAGACCCGAAACCCGGUGAUCUAGCCAUGGGCAGGUUGAAGGUUGGGUAACACUAACUGGAGGACCGAACCGACUAAUGUUGAAAAAUUAGCGGAUGACUUGUGGCUGGGGGUGAAAGGCCAAUCAAACCGGGAGAUAGCUGGUUCUCCCCGAAAGCUAUUUAGGUAGCGCCUCGUGAAUUCAUCUCCGGGGGUAGAGCACUGUUUCGGCAAGGGGGUCAUCCCGACUUACCAACCCGAUGCAAACUGCGAAUACCGGAGAAUGUUAUCACGGGAGACACACGGCGGGUGCUAACGUCCGUCGUGAAGAGGGAAACAACCCAGACCGCCAGCUAAGGUCCCAAAGUCAUGGUUAAGUGGGAAACGAUGUGGGAAGGCCCAGACAGCCAGGAUGUUGGCUUAGAAGCAGCCAUCAUUUAAAGAAAGCGUAAUAGCUCACUGGUCGAGUCGGCCUGCGCGGAAGAUGUAACGGGGCUAAACCAUGCACCGAAGCUGCGGCAGCGACGCUUAUGCGUUGUUGGGUAGGGGAGCGUUCUGUAAGCCUGUGAAGGUGUGCUGUGAGGCAUGCUGGAGGUAUCAGAAGUGCGAAUGCUGACAUAAGUAACGAUAAAGCGGGUGAAAAGCCCGCUCGCCGGAAGACCAAGGGUUCCUGUCCAACGUUAAUCGGGGCAGGGUGAGUCGACCCCUAAGGCGAGGCCGAAAGGCGUAGUCGAUGGGAAACAGGUUAAUAUUCCUGUACUUGGUGUUACUGCGAAGGGGGGACGGAGAAGGCUAUGUUGGCCGGGCGACGGUUGUCCCGGUUUAAGCGUGUAGGCUGGUUUUCCAGGCAAAUCCGGAAAAUCAAGGCUGAGGCGUGAUGACGAGGCACUACGGUGCUGAAGCAACAAAUGCCCUGCUUCCAGGAAAAGCCUCUAAGCAUCAGGUAACAUCAAAUCGUACCCCAAACCGACACAGGUGGUCAGGUAGAGAAUACCAAGGCGCUUGAGAGAACUCGGGUGAAGGAACUAGGCAAAAUGGUGCCGUAACUUCGGGAGAAGGCACGCUGAUAUGUAGGUGAAGUCCCUCGCGGAUGGAGCUGAAAUCAGUCGAAGAUACCAGCUGGCUGCAACUGUUUAUUAAAAACACAGCACUGUGCAAACACGAAAGUGGACGUAUACGGUGUGACGCCUGCCCGGUGCCGGAAGGUUAAUUGAUGGGGUCAGCGCAAGCGAAGCUCUUGAUCGAAGCCCCGGUAAACGGCGGCCGUAACUAUAACGGUCCUAAGGUAGCGAAAUUCCUUGUCGGGUAAGUUCCGACCUGCACGAAUGGCGUAAUGAUGGCCAGGCUGUCUCCACCCGAGACUCAGUGAAAUUGAACUCGCUGUGAAGAUGCAGUGUACCCGCGGCAAGACGGAAAGACCCCGUGAACCUUUACUAUAGCUUGACACUGAACAUUGAGCCUUGAUGUGUAGGAUAGGUGGGAGGCUUAGAAGUGUGGACGCCAGUCUGCAUGGAGCCGACCUUGAAAUACCACCCUUUAAUGUUUGAUGUUCUAACGUUGACCCGUGAUCCGGGUUGCGGACAGUGUCUGGUGGGUAGUUUGACUGGGGCGGUCUCCUCCUAAAGAGUAACGGAGGAGCACGAAGGUUGGCUAAUCCUGGUCGGACAUCAGGAGGUUAGUGCAAUGGCAUAAGCCAGCUUGACUGCGAGCGUGACGGCGCGAGCAGGUGCGAAAGCAGGUCAUAGUGAUCCGGUGGUUCUGAAUGGAAGGGCCAUCGCUCAACGGAUAAAAGGUACUCCGGGGAUAACAGGCUGAUACCGCCCAAGAGUUCAUAUCGACGGCGGUGUUUGGCACCUCGAUGUCGGCUCAUCACAUCCUGGGGCUGAAGUAGGUCCCAAGGGUAUGGCUGUUCGCCAUUUAAAGUGGUACGCGAGCUGGGUUUAGAACGUCGUGAGACAGUUCGGUCCCUAUCUGCCGUGGGCGCUGGAGAACUGAGGGGGGCUGCUCCUAGUACGAGAGGACCGGAGUGGACGCAUCACUGGUGUUCGGGUUGUCAUGCCAAUGGCACUGCCCGGUAGCUAAAUGCGGAAGAGAUAAGUGCUGAAAGCAUCUAAGCACGAAACUUGCCCCGAGAUGAGUUCUCCCUGACUCCUUGAGAGUCCUGAAGGAACGUUGAAGACGACGACGUUGAUAGGCCGGGUGUGUAAGCGCAGCGAUGCGUUGAGCUAACCGGUACUAAUGAACCGUGAGGCUUAACCUUACAACGCCGAAG
Molecule: ribosomal RNA, 2925 nt
Filed under: Escherichia coli
Lineage: Bacteria; Pseudomonadati; Pseudomonadota; Gammaproteobacteria; Enterobacterales; Enterobacteriaceae
Description: 23S ribosomal RNA
Rfam family: Bacterial large subunit ribosomal RNA
Source: RNAcentral